AGCGAACGCUGGCGGCAGGCCUAACACAUGCAAGUCGAACGAACUCUUCGGAGUUAGUGGCGGACGGGUGAGUAACACGUGGGAACGUGCCUUUAGGUUCGGAAUAACUCAGGGAAACUUGUGCUAAUACCGAAUGUGCCCUUCGGGGGAAAGAUUUAUCGCCUUUAGAGCGGCCCGCGUCUGAUUAGCUAGUUGGUGAGGUAAAGGCUCACCAAGGCGACGAUCAGUAGCUGGUCUGAGAGGAUGAUCAGCCACAUUGGGACUGAGACACGGCCCAAACUCCUACGGGAGGCAGCAGUGGGGAAUCUUGCGCAAUGGGCGAAAGCCUGACGCAGCCAUGCCGCGGGAAUGAUGAAGGUCUUAGGAUUGUAAAAUUCUUUCACCGGGGACGAUAAUGACGGUACCCGGAGAAGAAGCCCCGGCUAACUUCGUG
Molecule: ribosomal RNA, 433 nt
Filed under: uncultured bacterium
Lineage: Bacteria
Description: partial 16S ribosomal RNA
Rfam family: Bacterial small subunit ribosomal RNA
Source: RNAcentral